RNAcentral lists this ribosomal RNA (315 nucleotides) under uncultured eukaryote. Its description in RNAcentral is "partial 18S ribosomal RNA". It matches the Rfam family "Eukaryotic small subunit ribosomal RNA", at positions 1470 to 1796 of the family's 1831-position model. The record is from RNAcentral.
CCCUUAGACGUUCUGGGCCGCACGCGCGCUACACUGACCAGUGCAACAAGCAUCCGUCCUUGGCCGACAGGCCCGGGCAAUCUUUGAACGCUGGUCGUGAUGGGGAUAGACUUUUGCAAUUUUUGGUCUUCAACGAGGAAUUCCUAGUAAACGCAAGUCAUCAACUUGCAUUGAUUACGUCCCUGCCCUUUGUACACACCGCCCGUCGCACCUACCGAUUGAAUGGUCCGGUGAAGCCUCCGGAUUGGCGCGCACCUCGGUGCCGCCGAGAAGUUGGCUAAACCUUAUCAUUUAGAGGAAGGAGAANUCGUAACA